Molecule: ribosomal RNA, 520 nt
Filed under: uncultured bacterium
Lineage: Bacteria
Description: partial 16S ribosomal RNA
Rfam family: Bacterial small subunit ribosomal RNA
Source: RNAcentral
GACGAACGCUGGCGGCGUGCCUAAUACAUGCAAGUCGAACGCACUCUCGUUUAGAUUGAAGGAGUUUGCUCCUGAUUGAUAAACAUUUGAGUGAGUGGCGGACGGGUGAGUAACACGUGGGUAACCUGCCCUAAAGUGGGGGAUAACAUUUGGAAACAGAUGCUAAUACCGCAUAAAACCUAACACCGCAUGGUGUAGGGUUGAAAGAUGGUUUCGGCUAUCACUUUAGGAUGGACCCGCGGUGCAUUAGUUAGUUGGUGAGGUAAAGGCUCACCAAGACCGUGAUGCAUAGCCGACCUGAGAGGGUAAUCGGCCACACUGGGACUGAGACACGGCCCAGACUCCUACGGGAGGCAGCAGUAGGGAAUCUUCCACAAUGGACGAAAGUCUGAUGGAGCAACGCCGCGUGAGUGAAGAAGGUUUUCGGAUCGUAAAACUCUGUUGUUGGAGAAGAAUGUAUCUGAUAGUAACUGAUCAGGUAGUGACGGUAUCCAAACAGAAAGCCACGGCUAACUACGUG